CAAACGGGGCGAGCCAAUCCGAGGAAAAUCUAUAAAUCCUGACUGUUGAUUUCUCAGGGCCGGGAGGUGUAGGCCGGUGAUAAGCGGAGCCAGGAAGCCUGCCCCCGGGGGGGGGAGUCCGCCAUGAUGAACGCACAGAGAUGGAGUCGCAUGCCAAACGGAGCAGUGGCGACCAGCGCUAAGCUUUUAAUAUGGCCGGGCUGGCCUUCGCCUCCGAGGACCGAAACACACGCGGGCGUGGGCGGGGAGGAGCUGGGUGUCCCACAGGAGCCAGGGAGGGGGUGACCUCACCCCGCUCAGCGAACCUUGCUCGGCACAUGAAUACCUUCAUCGAUACGGGGUCAUGUAAGCCGUGUAACCCCAGCACCUCCCUCCACUCCUCACCAUCUCAAGCCCGGGCUCCCUAAUCUACCUGUGUGACUUUUACAGAUUGGAAUCAGAAGACAGGAGGGGAGCCAGACUGGCCAUGAUUCUCCCCCGCCCCAGCGGACCAUUAUUGGCAGGUUUUAGGUGGGGGGGGGGGGGGAAUGCAUUUCUGCAGAUGACCGUGAGGCAAGGAAAGAUUGAAUUCCCUUUCUGCUUUGGUCUGUGUGUGUACGUUUGGGGGUGUGGUGGUUGGGGUUGUCUUGGAGAAAUAGGCAGUGAUAGAUGAGGUACAUAGAGCAAGACAGCUACUGCUGCUCACCAGCCAGGCUGCAUCAGGAAGCUGUCUGCAAACUGAGAGUCUCUCUCUCUCUCUCUCUCUCUCUCUCUCUCUCUCUCUCUCUCUCUCUCUCUCUCUCUCUCUCUCUCUCUCUCUCUCUCUCUCUCUCUCUCUCUCUCUCUCUCUCUCU
Molecule: long non-coding RNA, 833 nt
Organism: Gadus macrocephalus (Pacific cod)
Lineage: Eukaryota; Metazoa; Chordata; Actinopteri; Gadiformes; Gadidae
Exons: 2
Source: RefSeq, a predicted model, not a curated record